GAAGGGCCAUCGCUCAACGGAUAAAAGGUACUCCGGGGAUAACAGGCUGAUACCGCCCAAGAGUUCAUAUCGACGGCGGUGUUUGGCACCUCGAUGUCGGCUCAUCACAUCCUGGGGCUGAAGUAGGUCCCAAGGGUAUGGCUGUUCGCCAUUUAAAGUGGUACGCGAGCUGGGUUUAGAACGUCGUGAGACAGUUCGGUCCCUAUCUGCCGUGGGCGCUGGAGAACUGAGGGGGGCUGCUCCUAGUACGAGAGGACCGGAGUGGACGCAUCACUGGUGUUCGGGUUGUCAUGCCAAUGGCACUGCCCGGUAGCUAAAUGCGGAAGAGAUAAGUGCUGAAAGCAUCUAAGCACGAAACUUGCCCCGAGAUGAGUUCUCCCUGACCCUUUAAGGGUCCUGAAGGAACGUUGAAGACGACGACGUUGAUAGGCCGGGUGUGUAAGCGCAGCGAUGCGUUGAGCUAACCGGUACUA
RNAcentral lists this ribosomal RNA (473 nucleotides) under Shigella flexneri. Its description in RNAcentral is "partial 23S ribosomal RNA". It matches the Rfam family "Bacterial large subunit ribosomal RNA", at positions 2436 to 2903 of the family's 2925-position model. The record is from RNAcentral. Lineage: Bacteria; Pseudomonadati; Pseudomonadota; Gammaproteobacteria; Enterobacterales; Enterobacteriaceae.